Molecule: ribosomal RNA, 358 nt
Filed under: Sphingomonas sp.
Lineage: Bacteria; Pseudomonadati; Pseudomonadota; Alphaproteobacteria; Sphingomonadales; Sphingomonadaceae
Description: bacterial SSU rRNA
Rfam family: Bacterial small subunit ribosomal RNA
Source: RNAcentral
GACAUGGCAGGACGACUUCUGGAGACAGAUUUCUUACCUUCGGGGACCUGCACACAGGUGCUGCAUCGCUGUCGUCAGCUCGUGUCGUGAGAUGUUGGGUUAAGUCCCGCAACGAGCGCAACCCUCGACCUUAGUUGCCAUCAUUUAGUUGGGCACUUUAAGGUAACCGCCGGUGAUAAGCCGGAGGAAGGUGGGGAUGACGUCAAGUCCUCAUGGCCCUUACGCGCUGGGCUACACACGUGCUACAAUGGCGGUGACAGUGGGCAGCAAGCACGCGAGUGUGAGCUAAUCUCCAAAAGCCGUCUCAGUUCGGAUUGUUCUCUGCAACUCGAGAGCAUGAAGGCGGAAUCGCUAGUAA